Molecule: long non-coding RNA, 2689 nt
Organism: Ictalurus punctatus (channel catfish)
Lineage: Eukaryota; Metazoa; Chordata; Actinopteri; Siluriformes; Ictaluridae
Source: Ensembl
AUAUAAUAUAUCUCAAAUAUAUUUUUUGUAUGACUAAAAUCGGUCAGAUGGUGUUAACAUUUGAGUGUACUUGACAUAGUAAACUGUAUAAAAUACACUGUUGCCAAAAAAAAGGAACACAAAUUAAUAUUUUUUUAAGACUACAUUUAAGUUAAGUAAAUGACAUAACAUUUUAAAUAGUUAGUAAAUGACAAGCUGCUGUACUGGCAAAGAAGCUCUAGAAACUAGGGCAGUUUUGCCAAUUUUCUAAAUUAAACUCCUAACCAGUGAUUUGUGUUAACAGUUUUCUAUAGUUACUGUAAUAGUGAGACACUAUGUACAGAUAUUAGGGUUCGAACCAAUAUUAGGGUUGUAAAACUGUUGCGUGCCCCCCCCCCCCCACAAGGAUUAACUGUACAAAAUUACCACAUUUUUAUUUCUGGAUUGUCAGAGGUAGUGGAUGAUUGUAUCCUAGAAAGACAGAAAUUUGUCAGUUAAUUUUGUGUAAUGGUAAUUCGUUUUUUCCCUACCUAGACUUGGAUAUAGAUGUCUCUUUGAGUUCUGUUCAUAACAUUUUGUGGUUGCUUAGAUUCCUCAGAACACCACUCUAAUUUCAACCACGAAUGAACCACAGCUGCCAGUGCCUGCAUAACUCGGUCACUAAUCACACACUCCUUACGUCUCCUGGAGAUGUUUUACACUCCAGCAGGAACUCAACCACCGCAUUCUUUCCCACACUAUCCCAUUCCCCUCACUGGCUGCACUUUACUGUGCACUCCCCAUGAAGGUAGCACUUUAUCCUAGAAUGGCCAUGUAGGUACUUCCCAACUUAUUUCAGUAUCUCAAAACAGUAUAUUCCCCAUGCCAGGCCUAAUCCAAACUUAAAACCACCAAACGUUUGUGUAGUUGUUUAUUGAUCAAAUAAGCCUGCCCUGGGGUUAAGUAUAAGGAUUCUUUCAUAUCUAUUAGUCCAUCUGCUAAGUCGUAGACAGGGCGAAAUAACUGAUACUUUUGGUUUGUUUGCUACCUGGUUUGGUUUAUCUUCACAUUGCACAUAAUUAAACAAUGAAAAAGCAAAAAAAAAAAAAAUCUUGGCAGAAGGCUGAAAACGUACUCGUAAAACUCAUUCAUUCAUUGGUCAGAAAAACGUCAAUGGAAAAAACGCAAAAAAAAGCUUUAAGUAUUUUCGAAUUCACAAAAAUCACCCGGUGCUCAGUAAAUUACUAGAUAAUUAUAUAAAUAACUAGUUUAAAGCAUUUUGUGCAUCACAUCUGACAAGUAUUUCUACUUUAUUUGCGUAGCAUUUCUACGGCACUACAGCAAUGUUUGGUUCACGUCCUGCAGUGGACUGAUUCAAGGUUGAAUUGCUUUUGAAUCGCAAGAGUUCGCUUGGAACCAGACCUUGUUCAGAAGGCCGCAAUCCGGUUGUUUUGGUCUGCACCCAAAUGUGAUUGCCUUGUUCUCACCUGCACAAACGAACCACACCAAGGGGGAAGACACAACAGGGUUCGAUUUAAAUGGGCUAAACGCUGCGUAUGUGAAAGCACCUUUAGAGGCUUCUUGUUACCAGUCGUUCAGUAUAAACUGUCUUAUUGCCAUAUGUGCUAAAUCAUUUAAUGUAUUAUUCACAAAAAUGAUGCAGUUCAAAUUGCAGUCUGGUUUCGAGAGAUGUGUAUGUUGGAGUAGGCAGUAUGGAUGGGCAGAUCUGGGUAGUAGAACGUAUCGUUUCACAUGAACACUAAUGCAUGCUGUUCUAUCCUUUCAUGCUUACCUGUAUUAAUAUUAAAGUGGUGUGGAUGUUCAGUUUGUGGCAUCAUAUCACUGAUUAGUUCUCAUGAGCAUGGUCAAGUCAUACAGCACUGUGGCUGCUCGUGCUAUCUGUAUGUGAAUCGCUACAGUGAAAGUUUUUUCUCUUUAUGGUGCCAUGACUCAAAUUCUGAAAGAAAAGCAGAGGAGGCUAUUUUGUUUACAUGAUUAUGAAUUGCCAACAAAAAAAACAUUGGAGGUGGAUAUAGUAGGCAUUAUCUAAAUCUAAAUGCGGAAUGAAAUAAAUAAAUAAAUAUAUAUAUAUAUAUAUAUAUAUAUAUAUAUAUAUAUAUAUAUAUAUAUAUAUAUAUAUAUAUAUAUAUAUAUAUAUAAUUUUUUUUUUUUUUUUAACCUGACCACCCUAAAAAACCUCAAAUAAUUUAUUAAUUCAGUUGAAGGUGUACAGUAAUCGCAGAAAUACACGUAUGCCUCUUUUACAGUGGGAUUGUGUGUGUGCUUUUGCUGUAAUUAUAAACAGCCCUAAAUGUGCUGGCUUUUGUGUUCUGACUUUAUUUUAUUUACAUUCCUAUAUUUCAUGUAUGACCUAUUGCUACUUGUGUUAUUUAAAGCUGUGUGUACUGCAGAUUUGACAUUAUAGUUUAAAGGUAAAUAUUUUGUUACUUGUGCAGUGUCAUGCUCAUCUCCGUGAAGUAGACAGACAAUAUUACACUGACUUCUCUAUUUUUCCUGCUUAUUUGUAUGAUCUUGAAAAGUCAAAUAUUUAAUAAUUUAUGUCAGUAUAACUUAUAAUUGUGAUUACACUAGUGAAGUUGCUGAAUAGUUUACAUAUUAAAAGCCUAAAAUAAGAGCACUACACCUGUUUAAAGCUGUGGCUAAGAAUAAAGCUUUUUCAUGUGAAGCUGUCAAGUUUUCUGGUUUUAUUCAAUGCAAACUUACCAUUGAA